Molecule: long non-coding RNA, 281 nt
Filed under: Panax ginseng (ginseng)
Lineage: Eukaryota; Viridiplantae; Streptophyta; Magnoliopsida; Apiales; Araliaceae
Description: long non-coding RNA (PGIN_LNC003540)
Source: RNAcentral
CAGGUUUCUACGUGGAUUGAGAUUUAUAUUUCUAUUAGACUUAAGAUUUCUUUAGACUGAGAUUUAUUUUCAAAUCGGUUUCUAUUUCUUUAUGGAAACUAGAGUUAUGUUUUGUAAUUCCUCUUAGGAUUUGGAUUUCUAGUUUCCAUAAGAUUUAAGACUUUAUUCUAGCACUAUAAAUACAUGGUAAUAGUUAGUAGUUAAUGGGAGCUUGGCUACACCAUUGUAACCCUAGUCUUGGAAGAUUGAAGAUUGAAGACAUGAGCUAAGUUCUUUAUUUU